GGGCAGCGGUCGACGAUUCCUACGGGAGGCAGCAGUGGGGAAUAUUGCGCAAUGGGCGAAAGCCUGACGCAGCAACGCCGCGUGGACGAUGAAGGCCUUCGGGUUGUAAAGUCCUGUCAGGAGGGACGAAGUCUCGCUUGCGAGAUGACGGUACCUCCAGAGGAAGCCCCGGCUAAUUACGUGCCAGCAGCCGCGGUAAUACGUAGGGGGCAAGCGUUGUCCGGAUUUAUUGGGCGUAAAGAGCACGUAGGCGGUUUACCAGGUCAGGUGUGAAAACUUCGGGCUUAACCCGGAGCCUGCACUUGAAACCGGUAGACUAGAGUCUAGGAGAGGAGAGUGGAAUUCCCAGUGUAGCGGUGAAAUGCGCAGAUAUUGGGAAGAACACCGGUGGCGAAGGCGGCUCUCUGGACUGCGACUGACGCUGAGGUGCGAAAGCUAGGGUAGCAAACAGGAUUAGAUACCCUGGUAGUCCUAGCCGUAAACGAUGGGCACUAGGUGUGGGGAGUUAUCGACGCUCUCCGUGCCGUCGCUAACGCAUUAAGUGCCCCGCCUGGGGAGUACGGCCGCAAGGCUAAAACUCAAAGGAAUUGACGG
RNAcentral lists this ribosomal RNA (594 nucleotides) under uncultured Streptomyces sp. RNAcentral describes it as "bacterial SSU rRNA". It matches the Rfam family "Bacterial small subunit ribosomal RNA", at positions 321 to 916 of the family's 1533-position model. Lineage: Bacteria; Bacillati; Actinomycetota; Actinomycetes; Kitasatosporales; Streptomycetaceae. The record is from RNAcentral.